RNAcentral lists this unclassified non-coding RNA (281 nucleotides) under Hevea brasiliensis (rubber tree). Lineage: Eukaryota; Viridiplantae; Streptophyta; Magnoliopsida; Malpighiales; Euphorbiaceae. The record is from RNAcentral.
GGCUUCUCCGAUAACAAGAUGAGAAUCUGAGCUUAUGAUGACGGCGUCUUAUGAUUGGUGACUUAAUUGAUUUUGUCAUGGUCAUUGACUCCCUUGCAAGAUUCAUCUUCUUCUUAAUCAACACCGAUUACAACACCAUUUUACAAUAGAUUGCCGAGAUUAGGGAAAAAAAAAUUUGCACCAAGCGAAAUAGGAAAUUGAGGACAACAAUGAAUUAAGCACGAGAACAUGAGGUGAACAAUGAGGAGAGGAAAAUAAAAGAGGAGUGGCAAAAUUAGGGU